Small nucleolar RNA from Jaculus jaculus (lesser Egyptian jerboa), 125 nucleotides. Lineage: Eukaryota; Metazoa; Chordata; Mammalia; Rodentia; Dipodidae. The record is from Ensembl.
GUGCCCUUUUAAGUUACCACAGCACUUUAAGAGGCUAACCCAGAAGGGUAAAAGAAAUAAAUCUGCAUAAAACCCAGAGGAAAGAUGGCAAACUUCAUCUCUGGAUCCUGCCUGGAGUCAAAGUU